AUGGCUUUUCACAGUUAUCAAUCUUAUCUUCUAGGUUUUUCAUGCAUUGCUUUGGUGUUGGUUUCAGGAUUGGUUACUAGUUUGGAGACUCCAGCAACAGUUUUAGAUGAAACAUGUGCUCCGGGUUGGCCACUUUCAUUUUGUUGUUCUGCGGUUUGUUCUCCAAACUGCGAUCAAGACUGUCAUGAGUUUUGUUCCUUAAAGAAAAUGAAAAUAAGGCACGAAUGA
Molecule: non-coding RNA, 228 nt
Organism: Vicia faba (fava bean)
Lineage: Eukaryota; Viridiplantae; Streptophyta; Magnoliopsida; Fabales; Fabaceae
Source: the annotation of a GenBank genome assembly